Non-coding RNA from Pelobates cultripes (western spadefoot toad), 249 nucleotides. Lineage: Eukaryota; Metazoa; Chordata; Amphibia; Anura; Pelobatidae. The record is from the annotation of a GenBank genome assembly.
GUAAAUGAUAUCCAUUAUACACAUCAGGGUGGUCCGGUUCAUUCGGUACUUUGUUCGUAUGGUGAAUUUUAGUUGUUCAUAUGUAAGCUGUUAUUCCCAUACCGAACAAAGUAUGUCUAUACCUAGUUACUUAGAGUUUUAUGUACUCCAGGCACAGGAAAAUCUCUGCAGGGCCAACAAUCAAUAAAAGGCAUAGGACAGCCAAAAAGGGGUUCCGCUACAGGUAGCUCUGACUCUGUAUUAGAGGAG